RNAcentral lists this ribosomal RNA (440 nucleotides) under uncultured bacterium. RNAcentral describes it as "partial 16S ribosomal RNA". It matches the Rfam family "Bacterial small subunit ribosomal RNA", at positions 338 to 795 of the family's 1533-position model. The record is from RNAcentral.
CCUACGGGCGACUGCAGUGGGGGAUAUUGCACAAUGGGGGAAACCCUGAUGCAGCGACGCCGCGUGUGGGAAGACGGUCCUCUGGAUUGUAAACCACUGUCCCCAGGGACGAAAAUGACGGUACCUGGGGAGGAAGCUCCGGCUAACUACGUGCCAGCAGCCGCGGUAAUACGUAGGGAGCGAACGUUGUCCGGAAUUACUGGGUGAAAAGGGAGCGUAGGCGGGGAUGCAAGUUGGGUGUCAAAACUACCGGCUCAACUGGUAGUCGCACUCAAAACUGCAGCUCUUGAGUGAAGUAGAGGCAGGCGGAAUUCCUAGUGUAGCGGUGAAAUGCGUAGAUAUUAGGAGGAACACCAGUGGCGAAGGCGACUUUCUGGACUGUAACUGACGCUGAGGCACGAAAGUGUGGGGAGCAAACAGGAUUAGAUACCCGAGUAGUC